This 498-nucleotide ribosomal RNA is filed under the name uncultured bacterium. RNAcentral's name for it is "partial 16S ribosomal RNA". It matches the Rfam family "Bacterial small subunit ribosomal RNA", at positions 30 to 523 of the family's 1533-position model. The record is from RNAcentral.
AUUGAACGCUGGCGGCAUGCCUUACACAUGCAAGUCGAACGGUAACAGGUCUUCGGAUGCUGACGAGUGGCGAAUGGGUGAGUAAUACAUCGGAACGUGCCCGAGAGUGGGGGAUAGCGAAGCGACAGCUUUGAUAAUACCGCAUACGAUCUCAGGAUGAAAGCAGGGGACAGGCAGGCCUUGCGCCCACAGACCGGCCGAUGGAAGAUUAGGUAGUGGGUGGGAUAAAAGCUUACCAAGCCGACGAUCUGUAGUUGGUCUGAGAGGAAGACCAGCCACACUGGGACUGAGACACGGCCCAGACUCCUACGGGAGGCAGCAGUGGGGAAUUUUGGACAAUGGGCGCAAGCCUGAUCCAGCCAUGCCGCGUGCAGGAUGAAGGCCUUCGGGUUGUAAACUGCUUUUGUACGGAACGAAAAGACUCUGGUUAAUACCUGGGGUCCAUGACGGUACCGUAAGAAUAAGCACCGGCUAACUACGUGCCAGCAGCCGCCGUAA